This 255-nucleotide ribosomal RNA is filed under the name uncultured bacterium. RNAcentral describes it as "partial 16S ribosomal RNA". It matches the Rfam family "Bacterial small subunit ribosomal RNA", at positions 524 to 776 of the family's 1533-position model. The record is from RNAcentral.
UACAGAGGUCCCGAGCGUUGUUCGGAUUCAUUGGGCGUAAAGGGUGCGUAGGCGGCGGGGCAAGUCUGAUGUGAAAUCCCGGGGCUCAACCCCGGAACUGCAUUGGAUACUGCCUUGCUAGAGUACUGGAGAGGGAACUGGAAUUUACGGUGUAGCAGUGAAAUGCGUAGAGAUCGAUAAGGAAGGCCAGUGGCGAAGGCGAGUUCCUGGACAGUUACUGACGCUGAGACGCGAAAGCGUGGGGGAGCGAACAGG